RNAcentral lists this ribosomal RNA (2313 nucleotides) under Triticum aestivum (bread wheat). Its description in RNAcentral is "partial small subunit ribosomal RNA". Lineage: Eukaryota; Viridiplantae; Streptophyta; Magnoliopsida; Poales; Poaceae. The record is from RNAcentral.
AUGUUCGGCGGCGGUCUCCCCAUCAUCGGUGGGAUCGGCGGGCUCACAGGGAGCAAGACCCGGCUCAAGGGGUCGGUGGUGCUGACCCGCAAGAAUGCACUCGACUUCAACGACCUGGGCGCCACCGUCAUGGACAAUGUCACCGAGUUCCUCGGCCGCGGCGUCACCUGCCAACUCAUCAGCUCCACCAUCGUCGAUUCCAACAACGGGAACCGCGGGAAGGUGAGCGCGGAGGCGAGCCUGGAGCAGUGGAUCACGAGCCUGCCGUUCAUCACGGUGGGCGAGAACAAGUUCAGCGUCACCUUCGACUGGGCGGUGGACAAGCUGGGCGUGCCGGGCGCCAUCAUCGUCAAGAACAACCACGCCUCCGAGUUCUUCCUCAAGACCAUCNNNNNNNNNNNNNNNNNNNNNNNNNNNNNNNNNNNNNNNNNNNNNNNNNNNNNNNNNNNNNNNNNNNNNNNNNNNNNNNNNNNNNNCAUCUACGUGCCGCGGGACGAGCUGUUCGGGCAUCUCAAGAAGUCGGACUUCCUGGGCUACUCGCUCAAGGCGCUGGUAGAUGGCAUCGUGCCGGCCAUCCGCACCUACGUCGACCUCUCCCCCGGCGAGUUCGACUCCUUCGCCGACAUCCUCAAGCUCUACGAGGGUGGCAUCAAGCUGCCCAGCAUCCCGGCCCUCGAGGAGGUGCGCAAGCGCUUCCCGCUCCAGCUCGUCAAGGACCUCAUCCCCAUGGGCGGCGACUACCUCCUCAAGCCCCCCAAGCCGCAAGUCAUCAAACAGGACGAGAAAGCAUGGAUGACCGACGCCGAGUUCGCAAGGGAGAUUCUCGCCGGCGUCAACCCGAUGAUGAUCACCCGUGUGACGGAGUUUCCUCCCAAGAGUAGUCUGGAUCCCAGCCAGUACGGCGACCACACCAGCACCAUCACCGAGGCGCAGAUCGGGUCGAGCCUCGAGGGCAUCACCGUGCAGCAGGCAGUCUCCAGCAACAGGCUCUACAUCCUCAACCACCACGACCACAUGAUGCCGUACCUCGUCAGGCUCAACAACCUCGACGACACCUUCCUCUACGCCACCAGGACUCUGCUCUUCCUCAAAGGUGACGGCACACUGGCGCCGGUCGCCAUCGAGCUGAGCACGCCGCUGCUCCAGGGCGGCCUCACCACCGCCAAGAGCACCGUCUACACUCCGGCGUCCACCGGCGUCGAGGCCUGGAUAUGGCAGCUCGCCAAGGCGUACGUCUGCGUCAACGACUACGGCUAUCACCAGCUGGUCAGCCACUGGCUCAACACGCACGCCGUGAUGGAGCCCUUCAUCAUCGCCACCAACCGGCAGCUGAGCGUGACGCACCCGGUGCACAAGCUGCUGCACCCGCACUACCGUGACACAAUGAACAUCAACUCGCGGGCGCGCGAGCUGCUCGUCAGCGCCGGCGGGAUCAUCGAGCUCACCGUCUUCCAGCGCAAGUACGCCAUGGAGAUGUCCUCCGUCACCUACAAGGACUGGAACUUCAACGAGCAGGCCCUACCAGACGAUCUAAUCAAGAGGGGCAUGGCGUGGCGCGACCCAUCUAGCCCGCACAAGGUGCGGCUGCUACUUGAGGACUACCCUUACGCGGUGGAUGGGCUCGCUAUCUGGACCGCCAUCGAGCAGUGGGUGACAGAGUAUCUGGCCAUCUACUACACCAGCGACAGUGUGCUUCAGAGCGACGUGGAGCUGCAGGCGUGGUGGAAGGAGGUACGCGAGGUCGGCCACGGCGAUCUCAAGGACGCGGCAUGGUGGCCCAAGAUGAUGACGGUGGCGGAGCUGGUCAAGGCCUGCGCCACCAUCAUCUGGACCGGGUCCGCGCUGCACGCCGCCGUAAACUUCGGGCAGUACCCCUACGCAGGUUACCACCCCAACAAGCCGUCAGCGAGCCGUCGUCCGAUGCCGGAGCCGGACACCGAGGAGUACGCCUUGCUGGCCCGCGACCCAGAAAAGGUGUUCAUCCACACCAUUACCAACCAGGUGCAGUCCAUCAUUGGCAUUUCCCUGCUGGAGAUCCUGUCCAAGCACUCCUCCGACGAGAUUUAUCUCGGGCAGCGUGACACGCCGGAGUGGACCUCGGAUGCCAAGGCGCUGGAGGCGUUCAAGCGGUUCGGCACAAGGCUGGAAGGCAUCGAGAGCCAGGUGGUGGCCUUGAACGGAAACCCCCAGCUCAAGAACCGCAAUGGACCAGCCCAAUUCCCCUACAUGUUGCUCUACCCCAACACCUCCGACCACACGGGCAAGGCCGAGGGGCUCACGGCCAGGGGCAUCCCCAACAGCAUCUCCAUCUGA